This 253-nucleotide ribosomal RNA is filed under the name uncultured bacterium. Its description in RNAcentral is "partial 16S ribosomal RNA". It matches the Rfam family "Bacterial small subunit ribosomal RNA", at positions 524 to 776 of the family's 1533-position model. The record is from RNAcentral.
UACGGAGGGAGCAAGCGUUACUCGGAAUUACUGGGCGUAAAGGGCUCGUAGGUGGCCAACUAAGUCAGACGUGAAAUCCCUCGGCUUAACCGGGGAACUGCGUCUGAUACUGGAUGGCUUGAGUGUGGGAGAGGGAUGCGGAAUUCCAGGUGUAGCGGUGAAAUGCGUAGAUAUCUGGAGGAAUACCGGUGGCGAAGGCGGCAUCCUGGACCGACAUUGACGCUGAGGAGCGAAAGCUAGGGGAGCAAACGGG